UGGGGAAUUUUGGACAAUGGGCGAAAGCCUGAUCCAGCAAUGCCGCGUGUGUGAAGAAGGCCUUCGGGUUGUAAAGCACUUUUGUCCGGAAAGAAAUCCUUGGCUCUAAUACAGUCGGGGGAUGACGGUACCGGAAGAAUAAGCACCGGCUAACUACGUGCCAGCAGCCGCGGUAAUACGUAGGGUGCAAGCGUUAAUCGGAAUUACUGGGCGUAAAGCGUGCGCAGGCGGUUUGCUAAGACCGAUGUGAAAUCCCCGGGCUCAACCUGGGAACUGCAUUGGUGACUGGCAGGCUAGAGUAUGGCAGAGGGGGGUAGAAUUCCACGUGUAGCAGUGAAAUGCGUAGAGAUGUGGAGGAAUACCGAUGGCGAAGGCAGCCCCCUGGGCCAAUACUGACGCUCAUGCACGAAAAGCGUGGGGAGCAAAACAGGAUUAGAUAACCCUGGUAGUCCACGCCCUAAAACGAUGUCAACUAGUUGUUGGGGAUUCAUUUCCUUAGUAACGUAGCUAACGCGUGAAGUUGACCGCCUGGGGAGUAACGGUCGCAAGAUUAAAAACUUAAAUGAAUUG
This 570-nucleotide ribosomal RNA is filed under the name uncultured bacterium. RNAcentral's name for it is "partial 16S ribosomal RNA". It matches the Rfam family "Bacterial small subunit ribosomal RNA", at positions 355 to 912 of the family's 1533-position model. The record is from RNAcentral.